GGCAGACGGGUGAGUAACACGUGGGAACGUGCCCUUCGGUUCGGAAUAACUCAGGGAAACUUGAGCUAAUACCGGAUACGCCCUUACGGGGAAAGGUUUACUGCCGAAGGAUCGGCCCGCGUCUGAUUAGCUAGUUGGUGGGGUAACGGCCUACCAAGGCGACGAUCAGUAGCUGGUCUGAGAGGAUGAUCAGCCACACUGGGACUGAGACACGGCCCAGACUCCUACGGGAGGCAGCAGUGGGGAAUAUUGGACAAUGGGCGAAAGCCUGAUCCAGCCAUGCCGCGUGAGUGAUGAAGGCCUUAGGGUUGUAAAGCUCUUUCGACGGGGACGAUAAUGACGGUACCCGUAGAAGAAGCCCCGGCUAACUUCGUGCCAGCAGCCGCGGUAAU
RNAcentral lists this ribosomal RNA (392 nucleotides) under uncultured bacterium. RNAcentral's name for it is "bacterial SSU rRNA". It matches the Rfam family "Bacterial small subunit ribosomal RNA", at positions 97 to 524 of the family's 1533-position model. The record is from RNAcentral.